Molecule: ribosomal RNA, 253 nt
Filed under: uncultured bacterium
Lineage: Bacteria
Description: partial 16S ribosomal RNA
Rfam family: Bacterial small subunit ribosomal RNA
Source: RNAcentral
UACGUAGGGUGCAAGCGUUGUCCGGAAUUAUUUGGCGUAAAGAGCUCGUAGGCGGUCUGUCGCGUCGGAUGUGAAAAUCCAGGGCUCAACCCUGGACCUGCAUUCGAUACGGGCAGACUAGAGUUCGGUAGGGGAGACUGGAAUUCCUGGUGUAGCGGUGGAAUGCGCAGAUAUCAGGAGGAACACCGGUGGCGAAGGCGGUUCUCUGGGCAUUACCUGACGCUGAGGAGCGAAAGCAUGGGGAGCGAACAGG